GAUGAACGCUGGCGGCGUGCCUAAUACAUGCAAGUCGAGCGAACGGACGAGAAGCUUGCUUCUCUGAUGUUUGCGGCGGACGGGUGUGUAACACGUGUAUAAUCUACCUAUAAUACUGGGAUAUCUUCGGGAAACCGGAGCUAAUACCGGAUAAUAUUUUGAACCGUGUGGUUCAAUAGUGAAAGACGGUCUUGCUGUCUCUUAUAGAUGGAUCCGCGCUGCAUUAGCGAGUUGGUAAGUUAACGGCUUACCAAGGCAACGAGGCGUAGCCGACGUCAGAGGCUGAUAGGCCACACUGGAACUGAGCCACGGUCAAGACUCCUACGGGAGGCAGCAGAAGGGAAUCUUCCGCAAUGGGCGAAAGCCUGACGGAGCAAGGCGGCGUGAGUGAUGAAGGUCUUCGGAUCGUAAAACUCUGUUAUUAGGGAAGAACAUAUGUGUAAGUAACUGUGCACAUCUUGACGGUACCUAAUCAGAAAGCCACGGCUAACUACGUG
RNAcentral lists this ribosomal RNA (497 nucleotides) under uncultured bacterium. RNAcentral's name for it is "partial 16S ribosomal RNA". It matches the Rfam family "Bacterial small subunit ribosomal RNA", at positions 28 to 507 of the family's 1533-position model. The record is from RNAcentral.